UGGUAGUCCGAGUGCAGAGAUAUUCACAACUAAUUGAUCAUAACCAGUUACAGAUUCCUUUGUUCCUUCUCCACUCUUACUGCUUCACUUGACUAGCGGUUC
This is a non-coding RNA of Pongo abelii (Sumatran orangutan), 102 nucleotides long. The record is from Rfam. NCBI's taxonomy places the organism in Eukaryota, Metazoa, Chordata, Mammalia, Primates, Hominidae.